GACGAACCGUCCAAACGUUGUUCGGAAUCACUGGGCUUAAAGGGCGCGUAGGCGGGUGAGCAAGUCUAUGGUGAAAUCCUCCGGCUUAACCGGAGAACUGCCGUGGAUACUGCCCACCUCGAGGAGGAUAGGGGCAUCUGGAACUAGCGGUGGAGCGGUGAAAUGCGUUGAUAUCGCUAGGAACUCCGGUGGCGAAGGCGAGAUGCUGGAUCCUUUCUGACGCUGAGGCGCGAAAGCCAGGGGAGCGAACGGG
Molecule: ribosomal RNA, 253 nt
Filed under: uncultured bacterium
Lineage: Bacteria
Description: partial 16S ribosomal RNA
Rfam family: Bacterial small subunit ribosomal RNA
Source: RNAcentral